AGGGUUUGAUUCUGGCUCAGGAUGAACGCUGGCGGCGUGCCUAACACAUGCAAGUCGAACGAAGCAAUCGGGAUGAAGUUUUCGGAUGGAUUCCUGGUUGACUGAGUGGCGGACGGGUGAGUAACGCGUGGAUAACCUGCCUCACACUGGGGGAUAACAGUUAGAAAUGGCUGCUAAUACCGCAUAAGCGCACAGUACCGCAUGGUACGGUGUGAAAAACCCAGGUGGUGUGAGAUGGAUCCGCGUCUGAUUAGCCAGUUGGCGGGGUAACGGCCCACCAAAGCGACGAUCAGUAGCCGACCUGAGAGGGUGACCGGCCACAUUGGGACUGAGACACGGCCCAA
This 344-nucleotide ribosomal RNA is filed under the name uncultured bacterium. RNAcentral describes it as "bacterial SSU rRNA". It matches the Rfam family "Bacterial small subunit ribosomal RNA", at positions 8 to 334 of the family's 1533-position model. The record is from RNAcentral.